RNAcentral lists this transfer RNA (72 nucleotides) under Patescibacteria group bacterium. RNAcentral describes it as "tRNA-Arg". It matches the Rfam family "tRNA". Rfam says of the family: Transfer RNA (tRNA) molecules are approximately 80 nucleotides in length. Their secondary structure includes four short double-helical elements and three loops (D, anti-codon, and T loops). The record is from RNAcentral.
GCCCUCGUAGUUCAAUGGAUAGAAUGCGAGCUUGCGGAGCUUGUGAUGCAGGUUCGAUUCCUGCCGGGGGCA